AUGAAGAUGUUGCUGCUGUCUGUGAUCCUCGUGCUCGUUACCCAGCAUGCCUCUGGAGUGGGGGAGAUUGAGGAGAAGGAGGGGAUUGAGGGGGAGGAGUCUGUGGUUCUGCCCUGUGAGGUUCCUCCUGAUGUCACUGUUAAAUCUGUGGAAUGGAGCCGCUAUGAACUCAAUCCCUCCACUGUUCAUCUACGUCAAACCAUCAAUAAUACAGAGAGAGAUGUUCUUAAAGACCAGAACCCGUCCUACAGAACCCGCACAGAACUACAGACGGACGCUCUGAAGACUGGAGACGUCAGCCUCACUCUGAAAACCCUUCAACUGCCAGACAGAGGAAUGUACAGCUGCACCGUCCGUUGGGGUAUGGGAGAGAGGAAACAGACUCAAGUUUACCUGAAGAUCAUCAGCAAGAGAGAAGUCCGCAAUGUGGUGAAGGUGGAUUCAGGGGUGGAGUCUGUCCUGCUGCCCUGCAAAACCACAGUUCACCUGUCUGAGGACGUCACAGUGGAGUGGACGAACAGUAACAACUGGAAGGUCCAUGUGUAUCAGAACAGUUCUGAUCAGCCUGAAGAACAGCACCAGUAUUACAGAGACCGAACAGAGAUGAAGAAAGAGGAACCUGGAGACCUCAGUCUGACCCUGAAAUACCCCAAAGACAGAGACAGUAAGACCUACACCUGCACCGUCUACAACAGGGAGAGAGAGAUCCUGAUGGAGAAACAAGUGCUGCUCAAGGUCAAAGAGAGAACCAGUAUCAAACCCACUGAUGGAACUCCUCUGAUGACUGUUAAAUCUGUCUGAUGGAUCAAUCUUUGAUUAUUGAUCUGAUCGGACUCUGGAUCAGAGAGAAUGGACGACGGAUGAAGACAUGAGGACGCUUUGUCUCACAGACUAUUGAUGAGUAUUGAUGAUCAGUCAGUGUGAUGUCACAUGUUGAUGAGUUUAGAUGUUUUGUACUCUGACAGAGGUCUCACUCUGGAGGAACCUGUUUGUAUUUUUGCUUUGAUAUAUUCUCUACAGCCAGCUUCAUGUAUCCAUUAUAUAUCAGCCUCUAACAGUCCUGUUCAGGCUCAUUCAGACUACCUUCACACUAAGCUGGCCUUCAUUGGUUGCAGUGAGAUCCAAUCAGAGCGGAGCUGUCAGACUGCAUAUUGAUCCUCCCAUUGAGCUCCAUGUGGAGGCUGUUACUGUCAGUGUGGUGUGAAUCUGUUCUGCUGAGAGGAAUCUGCUCAUCCACUGUUUCCUCUCUGUUCAUACAGAGAUAAUGAGACUCAUAUCAGCCUCAAAGUGGAGCCGUGGGUUUCACAUGGUCCGUUUAGUGUGGACGUAGUCUCACAGCAAUAUCCUGUUUGUAUGGCUGCAGUAAUCAAUAAUCAAUGAUCAUUUCAGACACUUUGUACCAAAGUUCAGUGUGAAAUUGUCCUGAGCUUUAAUGCCCCGAUCCCAUCCGGUGUUUCAGCUGUUUUUACUCCCAAAGCUUUCAGGUGCAGCCGUCAUCCACUCUGAGCUCCCCUCUCCCUGCAGAGCUGAUACAUCGGAUGGAUUUCAGUGCCUUUAAUGUGCCUGAAGUGAUCACUGCGCACUGUAUUCUCUAAAUACCAAUACAAGUAUCAGAUAAUCAAUAUGAAGUGACUGGGAUCAGACCAGAGGCUACAGAGAGCUGAUGGGAUCAUCCCUAGUUUGUUGGUGUAACUGUUACAGUUGAGCUUAUUUGCUGAUGAUGAUGAUGUUUUCGUAGGACUCUUGCUUUGCUGUUUGGGUUGAGUCCUCCAGGUUAACUGCUCUUAUUGUUCGUGGUUUGGAUGAUCAGAUCAAUCAAUGUAUUGAUGAAACAGCGUAUUGAUUGUCAGGAACCACUGUGUGCUUUCAGCUGCCAACCCAUAAUAAAGUGUAACCAAAGAGUGACUGUUGUCCAUCUGUAAUGCGAUCCUGUGAGGAUGAAAUAACUUUAGUCUUCAGUCUCUGAACCAACAAUCAAUAGUCGAAGAGGGGUCAAGAAAGCGAUGUGGGCUUCAUAGAUAACUGGGGGACAUUCUGGGGACA
This is a long non-coding RNA of Dicentrarchus labrax (European seabass), 2043 nucleotides long. NCBI's taxonomy places the organism in Eukaryota, Metazoa, Chordata, Actinopteri, Moronidae. The record is from Ensembl.